Molecule: long non-coding RNA, 1530 nt
Filed under: Brassica napus (rape)
Lineage: Eukaryota; Viridiplantae; Streptophyta; Magnoliopsida; Brassicales; Brassicaceae
Description: long non-coding RNA (BNAP_LNC022184)
Source: RNAcentral
AAGAAUAAAUCACUGUUAGAUCUUUAGGCAAUAGGAAGCUUCAGUUUUUAAACUUUAUAGACAGAGAAGUAGAGUUACAUGCAAUGAUAUAUAUAUGAUCCCAUAUUUAAGAGAAUUCUCCUGAUUACACAAAACAUAUGAACAUGAAACAGACAAAACUCGAAAAGUACACAAUCAUUGUUUGGUCUAAAGAAACAGUUUUAAAAUUCAAUUUCGCUAAUUUAUCAAUUAAAUUUCGAACAAAAGCUACAAAUCAAAUGAAAAUCAUUGCGAGGUUUUAAAAGGUACCAUUGGUGAUGAUGGCGCUGGUUUGGGGAGGAACCUUGAACUCCUCUGCUGCGAAUCAGAACCGCCGUGAACGGAGCUCCCUCCGAAACAAACAAAAUGUUGGACCGAGACAUUUUAUCUUUGAAUUUAACGUGGCGAAGUGGCUGCUAAGUUUUAUAAUGUUGGACCGAGACAUGUAUAAGACUUGAUGUUCAAUAUAUAGUACUGUUUAAGAGACAUGCUGAUCCUGUUUUCCAAUAAUGUUGGCUAGAGUGUACUACCGGAUAUAACAGCGUAAACCCACCGCACGGACUAGACGAAAAUAAAUCGCUUUGCGUAGUGCACAACAUAGACGAUAUAAAUGUAACACAUAACCAUGAAUUAGACCCAGCGAUAUAACUUAAAACCAGAUCCAGUUCCUUGCUUGUCUAAAAAAGGAUGUGAAGAGGACAUAUUUUAUUCGAAGUUGUACAAUAACCGUUUCAAUAUGUCAAAAGUUUUUAAUAUGUUUCUGGUACUGUGUUUCACUCAUUGGUUUACAAGAUUCAUUGGAUCAAUAACAAAACGCAGCUCCAACUCUAUCACGGGGGAUGAGUCUUAGUUCGGAUCCAUGCUUCAGGAACACGUUUCCUGACAUCAAACAAACAAACACACAUUAGCUUUCCACUUAAGAGAUUGACAAUAAGUGAGCUUAGAAUGAGCUAAACAAACAAAUAAAAGGCAAAAAAGAAAGAGCACGAGUAAAAGCCAAUUCAAGAACUCAAAAAUGUCACCUGCGCUGUGUUGGGGAUUGAUCCCGAUCCCAUCUGCAGACAUGAAUACAGAUACAACAGCAAUCUUGAGUAUUGUUGACAAGAAUAAAUCACUGUUAGAUCUUUAGGCAAUAGGAAGCUUCAGUUUUUAAACUUUAUAGACAGAGAAGUAGAGUUACAUGCAAUGAUAUAUAUAUAUAUAUGAUCCCAUAUCUAAGAGAAUUCUCCUGAUUACACAAAACAUAUGAACAUGAAACAGACAAAACUCGAAAAGGACACAAUCAUUGUUUGGUCUAAAGAAACAGUUUUAAAAUUCAAUUUCGCUAUUUAUCAAUUAAAUUUCGAACAAAAGCUACAAAUCAAAUGAAAAUCAUUGCGAGGUUUUAAAAGGUACCAUUGGUGAUGAUGGCGCUGGUUUGGGGAGGAACCUUGAACUCCUCUGCUGCGAAUCAGAACCGCCGUGAACGGAGCUCCCUCCGAAACAAACAAAAUGUUGGACCGAGACAUUUUA